Small nucleolar RNA from Dermacentor silvarum, 135 nucleotides. RefSeq annotates it as small nucleolar RNA SNORD10. Lineage: Eukaryota; Metazoa; Arthropoda; Arachnida; Ixodida; Ixodidae. The record is from RefSeq and is a predicted model, not a curated record. The transcript has a single exon.
UAGCUGUGAUGAAAACCAUGCGCGUCAUCUGACUGGCUUUUCUACCUGCCGUCCCAUCCUCGCUUUUCUGUGCCUUUCGGUUCUCGAGGGCACAGGUACAUAGCGGAAGGGUCUGGUUUUGGAAAGCUCAAGAUG